RNAcentral lists this non-coding RNA (31 nucleotides) under Macaca fascicularis (crab-eating macaque). Lineage: Eukaryota; Metazoa; Chordata; Mammalia; Primates; Cercopithecidae. The record is from RNAcentral. RNAcentral also lists the same sequence under 1 other name.
UUGACAGGCUGAUUUAGGGGUGCUCCCCAAG